GGAUUGUAGCCCAGUGGUAGAGUGCUUAUCCAGCAUGCAUGAGGCACUGGGUUCGAUUCUCAGCACCA
This 68-nucleotide transfer RNA is filed under the name Marmota monax (woodchuck). RNAcentral's name for it is "tRNA.Ala". The record is from RNAcentral. Lineage: Eukaryota; Metazoa; Chordata; Mammalia; Rodentia; Sciuridae.